GGUGUUCUUAGGUUUGGAAAUAUAAAUCCCAGGAGGAGUAAGCUGAAGAACAUUUUAUGCAUCACUCAUUCUAUUAUGAGCCCUCUGCUGUUCCAUCUCUCUACAAGG
Pteropus vampyrus (large flying fox) is the source of this 108-nucleotide non-coding RNA. The record is from Rfam. Lineage: Eukaryota; Metazoa; Chordata; Mammalia; Chiroptera; Pteropodidae.